RNAcentral lists this ribosomal RNA (777 nucleotides) under uncultured Providencia sp. RNAcentral's name for it is "bacterial SSU rRNA". It matches the Rfam family "Bacterial small subunit ribosomal RNA", at positions 723 to 1502 of the family's 1533-position model. The record is from RNAcentral. Lineage: Bacteria; Pseudomonadati; Pseudomonadota; Gammaproteobacteria; Enterobacterales; Morganellaceae.
CGGCCCCUGGACAAGACUGACGCUCAGGUGCGAAAGCGUGGGGAGCAAACAGGAUUAGAUACCUGGUAGUCACGCUGUAAACGAUGUCGAUUUGGAGGUUGUUCCCUUGAGGAGUGGCUUCCGGAGCUAACGCGUUAAAUCGACCGCCUGGGGAGUACGGCCGCAAGGUUAAAACUCAAAUGAAUUGACGGGGGCCCGCACAAGCGGUGGAGCAUGUGGUUUAAUUCGAUGCAACGCGAAGAACCUUACCUACUCCUGACAUCCAGAGAAUUUAGCAGAGAUGCUUUAGUGCCUUCGGGAACUCUGAGACAGGUGCUGCAUGGCUGUCGUCAGCUCGUGUUGUGAAAUGUUGGGUUAAGUCCCGCAACGAGCGCAACCCUUAUCCUUUGUUGCCAGCACGUUAUGGUGGGAACUCAAAGGAGACUGCCGGUGAUAAACCGGAGGAAGGUGGGGAUGACGUCAAGUCAUCAUGGCCCUUACGAGUAGGGCUACACACGUGCUACAAUGGCGUAUACAAAGGGAAGCGAAGGUGCGAGCUGGAGCGGAACUCAUAAAGUACGUCGUAGUCCGGAUUGGAGUCUGCAACUCGACUCCAUGAAGUCGGAAUCGCUAGUAAUCGUAGAUCAGAAUGCUACGGUGAAUACGUUCCCGGGCCUUGUACACACCGCCCGUCACACCAUGGGAGUGGGUUGCACCAGAAGUAGAUAGCUUAACCGCGAGGGGGGCGUUUACCACGGUGUGAUUCAUGACUGGGGUGAAGUCGUAACAAGGUAACCA